Small nuclear RNA from Sorex fumeus (smoky shrew), 107 nucleotides. The record is from RefSeq and is a predicted model, not a curated record. Lineage: Eukaryota; Metazoa; Chordata; Mammalia; Eulipotyphla; Soricidae.
GUGUUUACUUUGGUAGCACAUAUGCUGAAAUUGGAAAGAUACAGAGAUUAGCACAGCCCUUGCAGAAGGAUGUCAGGAAAAUUUGUGAACUUUUCUAUAAAACUUUU